GAUGAACAUAGUUUUAUCCAGCUCAUUUGGGUAUUUUUAAAUGUUUUUAAACAGUUCCACAAACUAAAAUAUUGCAUGAUCAGCAUAUGUAUUCAAAAGAACAAAGCUUGUGAGACAACUAUCCACCAAAAUAAAAAGAACAAAUGAUUGUUAGUGAGACAAACUGUUCACAAAAAAAAACCAAGUACACAUGUAAAUGCUGUAGUAUUCUACCUAAGAUUAAAAGAACAAUUCAAAUAAGAACUAUCUGCAAAAAAAUGAAUGGAACAAUAGCAAGGAAACACUAUCCACAAAAAAAUCAAAAGAACAGUAACCAAACUAUCCACCAGCAAAACUAAGGGACAUGCCUAUCUUAGUUCACCAACCAGGAUGGCCUUCAACAAAAGGCAAAGUUCCAAAUUGUAAUAUUAGCCUACAAAACCUGGUAAACUAAAUUUCACAAACAUAAAUUGAAAACCUGACUUUCUCUCUUUGAAGAUAAACCCAAUCUAUCAGUCAUCUUAUUUUGACACUGUGAAAUCUUCAUGUGUAAUAACGUAAUUAAAUUCAUUCAGGCUGUUAUAAUGUUUAAUAGUAUUUGACAAAAUGUUAUGACAAAAAUUGGACACAAGUUCAAACUUUAAUUCAUAUUGAUGGAUGCUUGAGGGGGC
This 650-nucleotide long non-coding RNA is filed under the name Mytilus galloprovincialis (Mediterranean mussel). The record is from RNAcentral. Lineage: Eukaryota; Metazoa; Mollusca; Bivalvia; Mytilida; Mytilidae.